GCGGGUAUGGUCUAGUGGUAUGAUGCGACCUUCCCAAGGUUGAGACGCGAGUCCGAUUCUCGCUACCCGCACCA
Molecule: transfer RNA, 74 nt
Filed under: Patescibacteria group bacterium
Lineage: Bacteria
Description: tRNA-Gly
Rfam family: tRNA
About the family: Transfer RNA (tRNA) molecules are approximately 80 nucleotides in length. Their secondary structure includes four short double-helical elements and three loops (D, anti-codon, and T loops). Further hydrogen bonds mediate the characteristic L-shaped molecular structure. tRNAs have two regions of fundamental functional importance: the anti-codon, which is responsible for specific mRNA codon recognition, and the 3' end, to which the tRNAs corresponding amino acid is attached (by aminoacyl-tRNA synthetases). tRNAs cope with the degeneracy of the genetic code in two manners: having more than one tRNA (with a specific anti-codon) for a particular amino acid; and 'wobble' base-pairing, i.e. permitting non-standard base-pairing at the 3rd anti-codon position.
Source: RNAcentral